GAUGAAGAACGCAGCGAAAUGCGAUACGUAGUGUGAAUUGCAGAAUUCAGUGACUCAUCGAAUCUUUGAACGCACAUUGCACCUCUCGGUAUUCCGGGAGGUAUGCCUGUUCGAGCGUCAUUUGUACCCUCAAGCUCUGCUUGGUGUUGGGUGUUUGUUCCGCCUCUGUGUGUGAACUCGCCUCAAAACAAUUGGCAGCCGGCGUACUUGUUUCGGAGCGCAGCACAUUUUGCGAUCCAGAUCAACGUACAGCGGCAUCCAAGAAGCCUUAUUUAACGCUCUUGACCUCGGAUCAGGUAGGGAUACCCGCUGAACUUAAGCAUAUCAAUAAGCGGAGGA
Molecule: unclassified non-coding RNA, 339 nt
Filed under: soil metagenome
Description: partial contains 5.8S ribosomal RNA, internal transcribed spacer 2, and large subunit ribosomal RNA
Rfam family: 5.8S ribosomal RNA (bases 1-120)
Source: RNAcentral